AGAGAGCCCCAUGCAGGGCUCGAUCCCAGAACCCUGAGAUCAUGGCCUGAGCCGAAGACAGAUGCUUCACUGACUGAGCCACCCAGGCGCCCCUCAAAUGUAAAGUUUCAUAUUUAUGUUCAGGUGGCCACUUACUAUCUUUAAAACUCUGUCCCUGAUAUAUGCAGUCAUUUUGAAUUGGGUCAGUGCCUUCUCUCUCUUUUUUUUUUUUCUUUUUCUUUUCUUUCCUUUCACCUCCUUCCCCGCACCCCUGCCCAGUUGAAAGGAUGUUGUUCGCUCCGACAGAGAUACAGGAGAUGGAUGCACUUGAGACCAUUCCAUCUAAUUAAGAGUCACAGCAAUGCUAGAGCUUACUUGCUCUGUAAAACAAGCUGAGCUUUUAUUCCUUAUGCCUUUAAACACCACCCGGGUAUUCACCUCAUGGCCACUUGCUAGGUCCGUGGAGUCCCAUCGCAGACCAACGCCCGCCCUAGACACCGACGUCCAGCGCCCUGGUGAUUCCUGCCGGAGGAGCCCCACUGGAGAGAACUUCUCAGCUGAGAAACAGGGAGUUCGGGGAUGUCCCAAAAUCAUGUUUCUGAAUAUGUGUCCUUUAUAUGCAAGCUUCGUAAAGACCCCGUGUCCUCCGAGGUGUGCCGCGUCACCUUCUCACAAGUAUUUGCUUUCUUUUAACCAAAAGUAUCAUUCUUGGGCAAGAAUAUAGUUUUGUUCUAUCUAGUGACUGUCUGGAAAACAAAGAGCCAAUUAAAUUUUUUAGUUUUAAGAAGUUUAAUUUAUAUAUAUAUAUACACACACACACACACACACACACACACACACACACACACAUAUAUUUUGAAUGAGGAGUAUUUUCAACUGUAGACAUGGAGUUAGGUCGUGUGGGUGAGGCUCCGUUGUAUUCUAACAAGCGGUGGUCACGAGGAGCUUCUUCCCGGCCUUUCUCCCCACUUCUCCGCCUCCCUUUCCUUUGUGAGUUUCGUAAAGAAUGGAGUUUCUUUGGCUUUAUCUUGUCUUACCUUAUCUUAAUCGGACCACUAGAAAGUAUAUUUUCUUCUUCUGCCAACUUCUCGUUGGCAUUUGUAAAAGCUGAUCUCAAAGGCUCUGAGACGUGCUUCUCCGUGGCUCCGCAGGCAAGCCUUUCUACAGAGCCUGUGUGUCCAGUCGGCGACCGGAGACCCGUCUGAGCACCCAGUUCCUGUUCCUCGUGCCUCCAGCGCUUAGUGCACAGUACUGUAUAGACUGACCGUCACCCCUCUCCUCGGAGAACGCCACUGUGCUGUUUGAGACAAAGCAGCCUUUUAGGGCUAGAGUAUUUUAUAUACACAGAAGAGCUGAGUUUCUGAAGACUAAGCUAGGUAGACGCAGCUACGUGUAAAUUGUAUAUUUUUAUGAACUUUUCAAGCACGCACUCUUCCUUCCCUCUGCAUAGCUUUGUGGGGUUUCGGUGUACGUGUGCUGUCUGCGAGAGUCCAGAGGUGGGAGUGGCCAUAGGAGAGGGGAACAAAAAGUAUGUGUGGCCUUUGGAAGUGACCAGGUAAUUGUCUUCACUGUGACCAGGCGGAGCCCCUGUUUGUGAAGAAGGGGCUUUUUCGUACCUCCUUGGAGAUGCCACCUCGAAAGUUCACAUUGUACAGGGUAAAGGUUUUAUUCUCCCCCAGCGCACAUUUGAAUGUCAGAAGCCCAUAUCCACAUGGGCCACGGUGGACCACUAACGGACCACUAAUAUUUGGCAGGCCAGGGGGAUUAUGUCCAGAUUUUCUCUGGAGGCUGAUCUUGCCCCUUUAUGUCCUAAACACCCCUCGACCUCGAGCCUUGUGAGACCCGGGUCCAGGCAGGUGAAAUGACAGAGUCAGAUUCCGAGGAGGAGUCGAGGGAGGAGCCACGUCUAUGCAGACCUCUCCAGACAGAGCUGGGAGACCCCUCAGAGAAGGGUUCUGGGAGAUAAGUCAACCGAAUACCAUCUCCAUAUUGAUUUUCAGAAUUGACUCUUGAAACUUUGUGCAGAAUCUUCCACUUUGUUGGGAUUGUCUCUUGACAUUCCUAGUUUGUUAUUUUUAUUAACUGGAGUGUGUGCUGCCUUUCAGGUACAAUUUUUGUGUAAUAAAAGCCAGUGCAUUAAGUUUAUAUAGACUACUUUCUAUGCAAGACUGAGAUAUGGAAUAGAGAGCAGGAGGUAUGGGUAGUUGGGUACAUGGGCAAUGAGCUCGUUCUCAGAAUGGGAACCUCCAUCGGACGUGGGCUGAGGGAGGACGGGUUGCAUGUAUGUUUCUGCCCACUGAUUUUGAGCAGCCAUAUUAGGAAUUAAAUCCUCAGAGCCAAGUAACCGGAGACUGGUAUUUGUUUCAUGUGUGUUAACGCCAAUGGAAGAAAGUACGAGUGCCGAAGUGGAACAUUAUUCUCAGAUAUCCCGUGUCAUUUCUCCUGUAAAGACUCUUGUUACGAAUUGCUAGAAACUUUAGGCAAAAUCCAAGUAUUGGCAGCAAAAUAAAGGCCUACUCUGCUCUUAUUUAAAGUGAAACACUGUAUACUUGUUUCUCUCCAAAGUGAAAUUAGGCGUUUAUGAUUUCAAUUGCCUUGAUACGUUUCCAAAUCACCUGUUUCUGCUGAAGAUUUUACUAUAUUGUUGCACAAUUUUAUGAUAAUUUUUGUCUCAAUGUCAACUUUUUUCACUGAAUAAAAAUGUAACUGGGUCAAGGAAACACCUCUAUGAAAAUCCACUCUCUCUUCCUGUGUCUCGAGUUCUUUUGAGUGCAAUAAAGAUGGUUAAUACA
Molecule: long non-coding RNA, 2771 nt
Organism: Mustela erminea (ermine)
Lineage: Eukaryota; Metazoa; Chordata; Mammalia; Carnivora; Mustelidae
Exons: 2
Source: RefSeq, a predicted model, not a curated record